This 139-nucleotide unclassified non-coding RNA is filed under the name soil metagenome. RNAcentral describes it as "partial internal transcribed spacer 1". The record is from RNAcentral.
CCUAGAGUUGUAGGCUUUGCCUGCUAUCUCUUACCCAUGUCUUUUGAGUACCUUCGUUUCCUCGGCGGGUCCGCCCGCCGAUUGGACAAUUUAAACCAUUUGCAGUUGCAAUCAGCGUCUGAAAAAAACUUAGUAGUUA